CCUACGGGGGGCUGCAGUGGGGAAUAUUGGACAAUGGGCGAAAGCCUGAUCCAGCCAUGCCGCGUGUGUGAAGAAGGCCUUCGGGUUGUAAAGCACUUUCAGUGGGGAAGAAAGCCUUGGGGCUAAUACCCUCGAGGAAGGACAUCACCCACAGAAGAAGCACCGGCUAACUCCGUGCCAGCAGCCGCGGUAAUACGGAGGGUGCGAGCGUUAAUCGGAAUUACUGGGCGUAAAGCGCGCGUAGGCGGUCUGAUAAGCCGGUUGUGAAAGCCCCGGGCUCAACCUGGGAACGGCAUCCGGAACUGUCAGGCUAGAGUGCAGGAGAGGAAGGUAGAAUUCCCGGUGUAGCGGUGAAAUGCGUAGAGAUCGGGAGGAAUACCAGUGGCGAAGGCGGCCUUCUGGACUGACACUGACGCUGAGGUGCGAAAGCGUGGGUAGCAAACAGGAUUAGAUACCCUAGUCGUC
This 465-nucleotide ribosomal RNA is filed under the name Vreelandella stevensii. RNAcentral's name for it is "partial 16S ribosomal RNA". It matches the Rfam family "Bacterial small subunit ribosomal RNA", at positions 338 to 795 of the family's 1533-position model. Lineage: Bacteria; Pseudomonadati; Pseudomonadota; Gammaproteobacteria; Oceanospirillales; Halomonadaceae. The record is from RNAcentral.